Molecule: ribosomal RNA, 253 nt
Filed under: uncultured bacterium
Lineage: Bacteria
Description: partial 16S ribosomal RNA
Rfam family: Bacterial small subunit ribosomal RNA
Source: RNAcentral
UACGAAGGGGGCUAGCGUUGCUCGGAAUCACUGGGCGUAAAGCGCACGUAGGCGGCUUGUUAAGUCAGGGGUGAAAUCCUGGAGCUCAACUCCAGAACUGCCUUUGAUACUGGCGAGCUUGAGUCCGGGAGAGGUGAGUGGAACUGCGAGUGUAGAGGUGAAAUGCGCAGAUAUCAGGAGGAACACCGGUGGCGAAGGCGGGUCUCUGGGCCGAAAUUGACGCUGAGGAGCGAAAGCGUGGGGAGCAAACAGG